RNAcentral lists this ribosomal RNA (299 nucleotides) under uncultured bacterium. RNAcentral's name for it is "partial 16S ribosomal RNA". It matches the Rfam family "Bacterial small subunit ribosomal RNA", at positions 28 to 334 of the family's 1533-position model. The record is from RNAcentral.
GAUGAACGCUGACAGAAUGCUUAACACAUGCAAGUCGACUCGAGUCUUCGGACUUGGGUGGCGCACGGGUGAGUAACGCGUAAAGAACUUGCCUCUUAGACCGGGACAACAUCUGGAAACGGAUGCUAAUACCGGAUAUUAUGGUUUUUUCGUCAUGGAGGGAAUCAUGAAAGCUAGAUGCGCUAAGAGAGAGCUUUGCGUCCCAUUGGCUAGUUGGUGAGGUAACGGCCCACCAAGGCAAUGAUGGGUAGCCGGCCUGAGAGGGCGAACGGCCACAAGGGGACUGAGACACGGCCCUU